Sphaeroforma arctica JP610 is the source of this 73-nucleotide non-coding RNA. Lineage: Eukaryota; Ichthyosporea; Ichthyophonida. The record is from Rfam.
ACCCGGCUAGCUCAGUCGGUAGAGCGUGAGACUCUUAAUCUCAAGGUCGAGGGUUCGAGCCCCUCGCUGGGAA